Molecule: ribosomal RNA, 433 nt
Filed under: uncultured bacterium
Lineage: Bacteria
Description: partial 16S ribosomal RNA
Rfam family: Bacterial small subunit ribosomal RNA
Source: RNAcentral
AACGAACGCUGGCGGCAUGCCUAACACAUGCAAGUCGAACGAGACCUUCGGGUCUAGUGGCGCACGGGUGCGUAACGCGUGGGAACCUGCCCUUAGGUUCGGAAUACCUCCCCGAAAGGGGUGCUAAUACCGGAUAAUGUCUUCGGACCAAAGAUUUAUCGCCUUUGGAUGGGCCCGCGUUGGAUUAGCUAGUUGGUAGGGUAAAAGCCUACCAAGGCGACGAUCCAUAGCUGGUCUGAGAGGAUGAUCAGCCACACUGGGACUGAGACACGGCCCAGACUCCUACGGGAGGCAGCAGUGGGGAAUAUUGGAAAAUGGGCGAAAGCAUGAUCCAGCAAGGCCGCGUGAGUGAUGAAGGCCUGAGGGUUGUAAAGCUCUUUUAACCGGGAUGAUAAUGACAGUACCGGGAGAAUAAGCUCCGGCUAACUCCGUG